This 433-nucleotide ribosomal RNA is filed under the name uncultured bacterium. RNAcentral describes it as "bacterial SSU rRNA". It matches the Rfam family "Bacterial small subunit ribosomal RNA", at positions 29 to 506 of the family's 1533-position model. The record is from RNAcentral.
ACGAACGCUGGCGGCAGGCCUAACACAUGCAAGUCGAACGCCCGUAGCAAUACGGGAGUGGCAGACGGGAGAGAAACGCGUGGGUACCUACCUAGCAGUACGGAAUAACCGCGGGAAAGUGCGGCUAAUACCGUAUACGCCCCAAGGGGGAAAGAUUCAUCGCUGCUAGAUGGGCCCGCGUCCGAUUAGCUAGUUGGCGGGGUAAUGGCCCACCAAGGCUACGAUCGGUAGCUGGUCUGAGAGGACGAUCAGCCUCACUGGGACUGAGACACGGCCCAGACUCCUACGGGAGGCAGCAGUGGGGAAUAUUGGACAAUGGGCGAAAGCCUGAUCCAGCCAUGCCGCGUGGGUGAUGAAGGCCUUAGGGUUGUAAAGCCCUUUUGACGGGGACGAUAAUGACGGUACCCGUAGAAUAAGCCCCGGCUAACCUCGU